CACACGUAAGGUUUGGGGCCGUCCGGGAGAAAUCCGGGCAGUUCCACCCGGUGGCGCUUUCGAAGAAAGCGCUGUUUGCCUUGCGGAGGUUCAACCGGAAAAGGAGAAAAAGG
Pararhizobium polonicum is the source of this 113-nucleotide small RNA. It matches the Rfam family "rpsB sRNA". The record is from Rfam. NCBI's taxonomy places the organism in Bacteria, Pseudomonadati, Pseudomonadota, Alphaproteobacteria, Hyphomicrobiales, Rhizobiaceae.